Molecule: long non-coding RNA, 7864 nt
Filed under: Homo sapiens (human)
Lineage: Eukaryota; Metazoa; Chordata; Mammalia; Primates; Hominidae
Description: non-protein coding lnc-FAM184B-1:2
Source: RNAcentral
GUGGUCACGUGACAGGACCGAGCGAUGGGAGGAUUCUGGUGCACCCCGGAAGGAGGAUUUUUAAUUCUUCUGUUUUCUUGUCUAUCGCAAAACAGAGUUUACAUGUAUUUUCCUUUUUUCUUAGCUUAAGAAUUGAAGACUUUGGCCGGAUUAGACCUGGUUGUGUGGAGAGGAGAAUUAAUAACUACAGUGGAGCGAGCCCUCCUGCGAGAGUCAGGAUACUACUAUGCUAGUCCCGACUCUGCCCCAAAUGCCUGGAGAGACUUUGGCUAAGUCACUUUUUCUUUCCGCGGGCUGUUUACCGUUGGUAAAAGGAGAGGGUCACCCACUCACUCCACAAACAUUUGUUGAGUCAUUGGUUAUAGCGGGAACAAGACAGGCAAAGUUCUUCCUGAAUUCUGGUCGGAGAUGGAUAACGGAAACAACUUUGUUGAGGUUCCCAAUGUGCCCGGCACUGAUGUCUUUAAAUAUUUAUGGUUACAUCAAAGAGAAAGUCACUAUGCUAAUCUUUUUUUUUCUUUCUUUUCUUUUUUCUCAGGGUCUCGUUCUGUCGCCCUGGCCGGAGUGCAGUGUCAUGAUCAGGGCUCGACCUCCCGGGCUCAAACAAUCCCCCUACUUCAGCCACCCAAGUAGCUAGGACCACAGGUGCGUGCAGUCGCGACGGGCUUUUUUUUUUUUUUUUUUUUUUUUUUUUAGUUGAGUCAGGUGUUUUACUGAGCUCAAGUGAUUCUACCGCCGCGGCCUCCCAAAGUGUUGGGAAUACAGUAAUGAGCCAAGGCGCCAGGCUGCUAAUUUUUUUUUUUUGAGACAGAGUCUCGCUUUGUCGCCCAGGCUGGAGUGCAGUGGCGCGAUCUUGGCUCACUGCAAGCUCCGCCUCCCGGGUUCACGCCAUUCUCCUGCCUCAGCAUCCCGAGUAGCUGGGACUACAGGCGCCCGCCACCACGCCCAGCUAAUUUUUUGUAUAUUUGGUAGAGAUGGGGUUUCACCGUGUUAGCCAGGAUGGUCUCGAUCUCCUAACCUCGUGAUCCGCCCGACUCGGCCUCCCAAAGUGCUGAGAUUACAGGCGUGAGCCACCGCGCCCGGCACUAGGCUGCUAAUCUUGUAGUAACCUGCUUUUAACAUUUGCUUAUCUCUCUCUUUUUUUUUGGUGACGGAGUCUCGCUCUGUCGCCCAGGCUGGAAUGCAGUGGCGCGAUCUCGGCUCACUGAAACCUCCGCCUCCUGGGUUCAAGCAAUUCUCCUGCCUCAGCCUUCCGAGUAGCUGGGACUACAGGCGCCCGCCGCUCGGCUAGUUUUUCUGUAUUUUAGUAGCGCCGGGGUUUCACCUUGUUGCCCAGGCUGGUCUCGAACUCCUGAGCUCAGACAAUCCGCCCGCCUCGGUCUUCCAAAGUGCUAGGAUUACAGGCGUGAGCCACCGUGCCCAACCUUCUUAUUUAUCUCUUUAAAACCAAAUAACUUUUUUUCAUUAUAUCUGAUUUUACAGUUAUUACCCAGCACACUUACUGAGCGCUCCACUUCCCAGGCACUAUUUAAUGAUCUGGAGGUUAUAGCAAUCAUCCCAAAUCUCUGGAAGGAGACAGACAAGCACAUAAAUACAUAGCAAUAUUGUGCAGAGAGAAGAGCUGGGAAGGAAAAUGAAACCCAGUAAGGGGAUGGCUAGUGAGAGGGGUGUUCUUUGAGAUAGGUGAUUGGAGGAGGCCUCUCCAAGGAGAUCUGGACUGUAGUGACUGGCAUGAAAAUUUAACUAGGAGUGCUUUCUACACCGAAGGAUCCCUGAAGAAGCAGCCUGCCUGGGAUGUUUAAGGAACCACAGGAAGCUCAUUGCCAGAGGAGUGAGCCAGGGCAGAAAUGUUCAGAGAAAAAGCAGGAGCUUCCCUUUGCCAACCAGGCUCGGAUCAAGUCAUCUUCCCAGCCUCAGUUUCACUUAGAUCCCCACUCCUAAGUACUUUCCCCUGUUUAAUUUUCUUCACAACAUUUAUGUAAUCUGAAAUUAUCUUGUUCAUUUUUUCAUAACUGAAUCACCUGCCCUCCUCCUCCUUCUCUCUCUGUCAUACACAUGCCAACUAGAAAAUAAGUUCCGUGCAUCAGAGCCUGCCCAUCUUAUUCACCUGUAUCCCCAGAAUCUAGAAUGGUGCCUGGCAUAAUAGAUAUAAUAAAUAUGUGAUGACUGAAAGAACCAGAAGAGACCGCCAGGAGGAAACAAGCCUACUCCAGCAGUUUUCAGACAGUUUUGGUCUCAAGACCCCUUUACACUCCUAAAAAUUAUUGAGGAUCCCAAAGUUUUUGUUUAUGUGGGUUAAGUCUGCUAAUAUUUAUCUGAUAAGUUAAAACUGAGAAUUUUAGGCUGGAGGCAGUGGCUCAUGCCUGUAAUCCCAGCACUUUGGGAGGCCGAGGCAGCCGGAUCACAAGGUCAGGAGAUCAAGACCAUCCUGGCUAACAUGGUGAAACCCCAUCUCUACUAAAAAUACAAAAAAUUAGCCAGGCGUUGUGGCGGGCGCCUGUAGUCCCAGUUACUUGGGAGGCUGAGGCCGGAGAAUGGGGUGAACCCAGGAGGCAGAGCUUGCAGUGAGCCGAGAUCAUGCCACUACACUGCAGCCUGGUUGAGAGCAAGACUCCGUCUCAAAAAAAACAAAAACAGAAUUUUAAAAAUCAAUUCAUUAAAAAAUAAUUCAUUAAAUGUUAACAAAAACAAUCUUUAUUAAAACUAAUACUCUAUUUUCUAAAAUAAGGAAUAAGUAAAAAGUAUGGCAUCAUUUUACUUUUUUGCAAAUCUCUCUCUAUAUAUAUAUAUUUUUUUUGAGACAGGGUCUUACUCUGUUGCCCAGGCUGCAGUGCAGUUUCACAAUUACAGCUCACCAUAACUUCCGCCUCCCAGGCUCCAGCAAUUCUCCCAAUCAGCCUCCCAAGUAGCUGGAACUACAGGCAUGUGCCAACACACCUGGCUAAUUUUUUGUAGAGAUGGGGUCUUGCCAUGUUGCCCAGGCUGGUCUUGAACUCCUGGGCUCAAGCAGUCCACCUACCUCGGCCUCCCAAAGUGCUGGAAUUAUAGGAGUGAGCCACCGUGCCCAGCCUUUCAAGUCUCAUUAAUAUCCAGUUUACCUAACCUCAUUGUAAAUUUCCUGCGAACAUGGUCAGUGGUAUUUCUCUUGCAGUCCUCCUAGAGUACUGCACAAAAAAGCACUAACAUUUUUUGGAUUUUGCUGAAAACCCAUCACUUCAUUUAUAAGAUGAGAGAACACUGCCUUAGAAAAAUUACUAAGAACAAGAUAAUCUAUGUAGAGGUUUAAUACUGUGCCUUGCAUAAACUAAGUUGCUAAGGAGUGACACGAUGUAACUCCUAUUUUUAAUUUUUAGAGAUAAGGUCUCACUAUGUUGCCCAGGCUAAUCUUGAGCUCCUGGCCUCAAGUGAUCCUCCCACCUUGGCCUCCCAAAAUUCUGAGAAUACAGGCAUGAGCCACUGGGCCCGGCCUGAUUUAUGUUUUAAAAUAAUCUUUCUAGUCAUACAGAUAACAGGAGAACAAGUGGAGAAGGCAGGGAGACCAGUGAAAGAGAGUAAUCUAGGAGUGCAGAGAGGAUGGUGACUUGUACCAGGGCAGUUGAGACAGCGGUGGUGAGACUUGGGUCAAAUAAACAUGAUUUGUUUAACAACCAACUGGUUGGGAAUGGAAUGUUAGUAUGAUUUGAAUGUACCUUUUUUUGUUUUGAGAGGGAAUCACGCCCUGUCACCCAGGUUGGUUUUGGAGUGCAGUGGUGCAAUGUUGGCUCACUACAACCUCUGCCUCCCGGGUUCAAGUGAUUUCUCCUGCCUCAGCCUCCCAAGUAGCUGGGACUACAGGCACAUGCCACCACACCCAGCUAGUUUUUGUAUUUUUAGGAGACACAGGGUUCGUGAAGUUCCUGGCAGCUAGAUGUACAUUCAGUGACAACUAUUAAAUUUCAUCUCAGCCAGGCACGGUGGCUCACAUCUGUAAUCCCAGCACUUUGGGAGGCCUAUACAGGUGGAUCACUUGAGGCCAGGAGUUCGAGACCAGCCUGGGCAACAUGGCAAAACCCAUCUCUACUAAAAAUACAGAAACUAGCUGGGCGUGGUGGUGUGCACCUGUAGUCCUAGCUACCUGGGAGGCUGAGGCAUGAGAAUCGCUUGAACCUGGGAGGCAGAGGUUGCAGUCAGUUGAGAUCGUGCUACUGCACUCCAGCCUGGGUGAGAGAAUGAGAUUGUCUCAAAAAAAAAAAUUUCAUCUCAACCAGAUUAGGUAAGCCACAUGAAACCAGGGCCUGUGCUAUGCUUUUUGUAUACCACACACUAGUAAACACAGGAGUUCCACUGUUCCUUUAUCCAUAAAAAGCCUUUGACAGAAUCCUUCUAUCAAAGCCCGACUGAGGCUCUGUAUCACCCAGAAUAAAUCUGUUUUCAGUUUUCUUCAUAAGCCUGUAAUUCCAACCCUCUAAUUCCAUCUUUCCUGAUGAAGUGACUUCUGAACAUGAAUAACCAGGGAAACCUGUGUUUGCUCACUACACUCACCGGGUUUUAAUUCUAAUAAAUACCACAAACAAGCAUGCCCAUUUCCAUUCCCUCUGUAAACCAGUUUAGAUAUACAAUAUUUUUGCAUGUCAAAUUUCUUAAAUGUUAAAAUUAACAGUAACAAAGAGCUUUUCCUGUUAAACAUUUUCAAAGUUAAAAAAAGGGCACACAUCCCAUUGAUGGAUUAAUUUGAUUCAUCGGAUACAAAAGUAAAAACGAGGAGAGCUUUGUUCUAAGUCUGCACCAAUGGAAUUAUGUUGAUUGGUUAUAGUUUCAGGAGGUGAGCAAACAGUUUUACCCGUUGACAGUCCCCGUUUUUUUUUUUUUUAGGAGAUGGGGUCUUGGUUUGUUGCCCCAGCUAGAGUGCAGUGGCUCAUAGCUCACUCAUAGCUCACUGCAGCCUCAAACUCCUGGGCUCAAGCAAUCCUGCCCCAGCCUUCUGAGUAGCUGGGACUACCGGUGCACCACCACAACACCCAGCUUAUUUAAAAUUUUAUUUAUUUAUUUUUGAGACGGAGUCUCGCUGUUGCCAGGCUGGAGUGCCGUGGCAUGAUCUUCGCUCACUGCAACCUCCACCUCCAGUGAUUCUCCUGCCUCAGCCUCUCAAGUAGCUGGGAUUACAGGCAUACACCACCAUGCCCAGCUAAUUUUUGUAUUUUUAGUAGAGACGGGGUUUCACCAUGUUGGCCAGGAUGGUCUCGAUCUCCUGACCUCAGGUGAUCCACCUGCCUCGGCCUCCCAAAGUGCUGGGAUUACAGGCGUGAGCCACUGCACCCAGCCUUAAAAAAUUUUUUAUAGAGACAGGGUCUCACUAUGUUGCCCAGGCUAGUCUCAAACUCCUGGGCUCCAAGUUGUCCUCCCACAAUGUCUCCCAAAGUGCUGAGAUUACAGGCAUGAGCCAUUGCAUCUGCUGUCCCCCCCGCCACCUGCUUUUUGUUUUUUUUGAGACUGAGUCUAGCUCUGUCGCCCAGGCUGGAGUGCAGUGGUACGAUCUUGGCUCACUGCAACGUCCGCCUCCUGGGUUCAAGCAAUUCUCCUGCCUCAGCCUCCCAAGUAGCUGGGAUUACAGGCAUGCGCCACCACGCCUGGCUAAUUUUUUUUGUAUUUUUAGUAGUGACGGGGUUUCACCAUAUUGGCCAGGCUGGUCUCAAACUCCUGACCUUGUGAUCCGCCUGCCUUGGCUUCCCAAAGUGGUGGGAUUACAGGUGUGAGCCACCGUGCCUGGCCUGAGACAGGUUCUUGCUCUUUCACCCAGGGUAGAGUGCUGUGGCAUGAUCAGGGGGCUCACUGCAGACUUGACCUCCAGACUCAAGCAAUCUUCCCACGUCAGCCUCCCCAGUAGCUGGGCUCAGCUGACAGUCCCUUUUAUGAUCGUUUCUUUUUUCAGCACACUGUUGCUGGCUUGAAUUCUUUUUAAAAUUUAAGAAAAUAGAGACAAGGGUCUAACUAUGUUGCCCAAACUGGUCUCAAACUCCUGGCCUCAAGCAAUCCUACUGCCUUGGCCUCUCGGAAUGCUGGGAUUACAGGCAUGAGCCACUGUGCUUGGCCUGUGGUCAUGUUUCUUACUUCAGUACUUCAAAUAAAUUCUACAUCCAUUCAAGUCACUGAACUGAAAAAGAGCACUGCAGUGUACCAGUGCAGCAGCCAGACCACCUGGCUUGAACUUUGAGCUACCAGUUACUUGCUCUGUGACAUCAGUGGCAUGUUACUAAACUUCUCUUGUGCCUCGUUUCCCUCAUCCGUCAUAUGAGGGUAAUAACAGUACCUGUCUCAUUGGGUAGGACUCAAUAAUUUAACACCUGAAAACACUGAGGACAGUGCCUGGCAGAUGGUAAGUCAACAAUGGUUACUAUUAUUCUGACUGAUUCAUUUUGGAAAUCAUGGGCCAAGCCACUAUUACCCAAACUGAUGAGCUCAAUCCCUGAGUACCUUUAAGUGAUGAGGAACAUUGAGAAAAUACAUAAGCCACUGUGCCCCAAUUUAAUUACAUAGUUCAUACAACAUGGCUACAGAGACGAAUGAUAUUCUAGUAAUAAGUUACUGGGUUUGUAGCAAUAUGUAAGUAAAUAUCAGAGCCACACCAGAGAGCACAACAAGUUGCAUUUAUUGUUUCUGACAAGUGCAUAGUAAUUUUCAGUUUGCUCAUGUUCCUAGCAUCACAAAUCUGAGUUACAAUUUUGCUUCUCAAUGAAAAACAUAUACUCUGAAAAGUGAUUAGGAAGUUCUAAAAAUUUUAAUCAUUUAUAGAGUAUCUUAAAAAUCCUUAUCAAGUAAGAUAUUAACUUUACCUUUAUAAAUCUUUGUGUGAAAUGAAAAAAAAAUCAAGGCAUACAAAUUUCAUUGUGUUCUACAUUUUUAAAUACCAUCCUUUGUCUCCGUUAAAAGAUUUUCAUCCAUUUAUUCAAAAACCUUUUAAGUUCAACUGUCCAAUUUAAGACAGAGUGAAGACAUUUUUGAGUAUCUGAACUAAGCAUUGUCUUGACUGAAACGAAGUAAGAACUCAAUGAGAGUCCUUGUGGGCCUCCCAGUCAUGCCUUUCCGUAGAUAGGGAACUUCAUCUUUGUUGGUCAUCACGCCUGCUAUGUCUAAAUGUGCCCACUUAGGAUGAGUUACGAAUUCUUUCAGGAAUGCUGCAGCUGUACAUGCUCCUGCAGAUCUGAAGAGAAAGACAAAAAGCACUUUACAACCCCAUGUAAAUGUGCACUGAGAUCCCACAUUUUUGCUAAGUACAUUCUAUAACCAAAGAACAAGAGUCAAGCUUGUAAGACCUAUUAAGAUGCUAACCCACAUAUCAGUUUCAGAAUAUUUAUUUUCAGAUAUUGCUUUAAGCAGUAAAGGAUAAAUUCUAUAUUCCUUUUUGCUAUGGUAAUGAAUUCCCAUAUUUUCCAUCUCUUUCCCUUACCAUUUAUUGAAAAUUACCAUUAGAUUAGAAAUAUGCAAAUUUUGAAAUCUGGUUGAAGAAAUACUUGAAAAUUCAAGACAUUAAAAAUCUUACAAGCACUACACCAAAAGGAAAUUAAAUAGUUAAACCUUUUAUAUAAGGGGAUAAAAUUGAAAAUAGCUAUUUUGGCAAUCAAGGAUGAUUGUAUAAAUGUACAUUUAGCUUAGCUUACAUACCUGUAUUUUCCAAUGUUGUUAACAUCAGCAAGCUGGCAAUCUACAACCUGUCUUGUAUAAUGUUCGAAGAGAGGCAUCCUCCAGACACGGUCCCCUGUUUCAAUGCUGGCCUAGAGAACAGGUAUGACAGGUGGAAGAGUGGAUGAGGCAGGUUGUGGGAAAUUCAUGGCAUUAACAUGCUCAAUGCAUGAAGGAAGAGUUGUUCUAACCUGUUACUCUAAAACAU